ACAUUCGCCCUGGGGUGCUGCUGGAGACGGCGGCUGAGAUCACACCCAUAGAACCUGAAUCUGGAUAAUGCCAGCGCAGGGACCGGCAAGUCGGCUGAAG
RNAcentral lists this non-coding RNA (100 nucleotides) under Methylocella tundrae. RNAcentral describes it as "TPP riboswitch aptamer (THI element)". It matches the Rfam family "TPP riboswitch aptamer (THI element)". From Rfam's summary of the family: Vitamin B(1) in its active form thiamin pyrophosphate (TPP) is an essential coenzyme that is synthesised by coupling of pyrimidine and thiazole moieties in bacteria. The previously detected thiamin-regulatory element, thi box was extended, resulting in a new, highly conserved RNA secondary structure, the THI element, which is widely distributed in eubacteria and also occurs in some archaea. The record is from Rfam by way of RNAcentral. Lineage: Bacteria; Pseudomonadati; Pseudomonadota; Alphaproteobacteria; Hyphomicrobiales; Beijerinckiaceae.